Non-coding RNA from Podarcis lilfordi (Lilford's wall lizard), 2418 nucleotides. Lineage: Eukaryota; Metazoa; Chordata; Lepidosauria; Squamata; Lacertidae. The record is from the annotation of a GenBank genome assembly.
GCAAGAUGCCCUGACCCCCAGGCUCCCUCUUGGAGAGGAAGAGGGUGGCUGUAUUUUACUAGCUGCCUCCCUCCACAACUCACACCCUCCCAGCCGCCGGGGAGGAUCACGGCUGCCCUCUUAGAGGGAGCGCCAGGAAGGCGUUGACUGGCAGCCCGGACGCCUGGGUUCCCUAGGCGAGAAAGCAGGGCUUAAGAAUCCACAGCCCAGGGGAGGGGAGAGGGAACCAGAUACUCUUGUGCAAAGGUUUUAUUCCUGGAUCUGGGAUAGGGGGGGAAACCUGCAAUGAGCAAUGGACGGAGAAGAUCAGGAAAACUGGGAAAAUCCUUUGGGAAUGUGUGAUUUUGGAGUUUGAUGUGCCUUCAUAAGUCAUGGGGUAUGGGGAAGACAGUCUGUUGAAGUCCAUCUGGGUCAAAGCCAUCCAUCCAGCCACCCAUCUAUCUAAGUACAUCAGAACAGACCCGCUGGAUCAGGCCUAGUCCGGCCUGCUGAUCUCGCAGCAGUUUGCUGUCUCUGACUGUGACAGCAGAACAUAACUGUCAUGGCUAGUAGCUCUUGAUAGCUCUCUCCUCCAUGUGUCCAAGGACCCCUGACUAUUAGGUCCAGUCGUGACCGACUCUGGGGUUGCAGCGCUCAUCUCGCUUUACAGGCCAAGGGAGCCGGCGUCCAGCUUCCAGGUCAUGUGGCCAGCAUGACUAAGCCGCUUCUGGCAAACCAGAGCAGCGCACGGAAACGCUGUUUACCUUCCUGCCUGAGCGGUACCUAUUUAUCUACUUGCACUGGUGUGCUUUCGAACUGCUAGGUUGGCAGGAGCAGGGACCGAGCAACGGGAGCUCACUCAGUCGCGGGGAUCCGAACCGCCGACCUUCUGAUCGGCAAGCCCUAGGCUCUGUGGUUUAACCCACAGCACCACCCGCGUCCCACAUCCCAUGUGUCCAAACACACCGGGAAUCCUGUGUCCGGUUCUGGGCACCACAAUUUAAGACGGGUAUUGAGAAGCUGGAAGGUGCGCAGAGGAGGCGGCCGUGAUGGUCCAAGGCCUGGAAACCAAGCCUGAUGAGGAACGGUUGAGGGAGCUGGGUAUGCUUAGUCUGGGGAAAAGGAGACUGAGAGAGGAGAUCAAACAUCUUAAAGGAUGUCCCGUGGAAGCUUGUUUUCUCCUGCUCCGGAGGGUAGGACUCGAACCCACAGCUUCAUGUUACAAUAAAGGAGAUUCCGACAAACCAUCAGGGAGACCUUUCUGACAGUAAGAGCUGUUUGACCGUGGAACGGACUGCCUUGUGACGUGGUGGGUUCUCCUUCCUUGGAGGCUUUUAAGCAGAAGUUGGAUGGCCAUCUGUCAGGGAUUAUUUAGCUAUGAUGCUGGACUAGAUGGCUUUUGGGAGUCCCUGUUCUAUGACUCUAAAUUAGCAGCAUCCCAUGUAUCAGGGAGGAGACGUCAGGGGGCUAAACCAUGAAGUUUGGGGAAUUUGAGAGAGAGAGAAAACUCUACAGGAUGGGGGGAAACACAGUGUGCCUUGACCAUUCUCAGCAGCCACAGAAAACUGUCUGCUUGGGGAGGGGUGUGGCAGGGUGCGCGGAAUAGAGUAUCCUGGAAAAGGGAAACAACUCCACGCCGGAGCAUUUUUUAUCCUGAUGCCCCCAAGUUAAGGGGGCAUAUGGGGGGGGGAACCACCAUUGUAGGUAUUUGAACAGAAAUCUCACAUUGUUUUAUUUACAGCAUCCGUUCGUCGCUUUCCUGCAAAUGUCGCCAAAGGGAAGCACAGAAAGUACCAACAAAAUUAAACAUUUACAGUGUUAAAGAGUCAACUUUUGUUGUUGUUUUAGAAUGAGCCAGAAAUACGCAGCGGCGGAACCAUUGUUCGUAAGAAAGAAAGAGAAAGGAAAGCAUUAAAACUCAGGCUCCGUUGGAAAGCAAACCAAGAGAGCAGCGAUCAGUUGAAAAACCAAUCGAUCGAUCAAAGGCAAGGUCUUACGAAAAGUAAGAUCAGGAGAAGAUCUUUUAACCUUGUGUUGCUGUGGGGCACACCUGGUGCGCACCAGCCUGUUUUGGACUUGUUAAGUACUGAGUUGAAUAGGAUCCAAAUUGCAGCAGUCUGAUUGGUCCUAGAACAAUAGGAUCCAGAAUGCAGCAGUCUGAUUGGUCCGCAGGAGCCACCCAAUCCAACUCCAGGUGGAAGUGAAUCCGCAACCUGAUUGGCCUACAGGAGAAUCCCAGAAUUAGCCAAUCACGUGGGGCCCAUUGUGUAAAUAAUGUAUAUAAAGCAGACAUUUCGGGGAACUUCCAUUCCUACUAUGAGCUGAAUAAAGAGCAUGAAAUCCACUCUCGACUCCGAGUGUAUUUCAGGACUACAACUCCCCUCAGGCCCAGCCAUCAUGGCCGUUUAAACUAUGUUUUAACGAUGUUUUAUGGAAAGC